Long non-coding RNA from Alexandromys fortis (reed vole), 1805 nucleotides. RefSeq lists it as uncharacterized. The record is from RefSeq and is a predicted model, not a curated record. The transcript has 4 exons. Lineage: Eukaryota; Metazoa; Chordata; Mammalia; Rodentia; Cricetidae.
GGUGAGAGAUGAGCGCUGGUGCUAAUAUUGCUUCCUCCACUUCAUUCAGUCUAGGACCCAGGCCACAGUUAGGAUGAGUCUUCCCUUCUCAGUCCAGUGUGCAGACUUCAAGGACGUGCCCACAGGUCAGACCUCAGCUCUGUCUGGGAACUUCACUGGAGUGCCGCCUUCUCUUCCUACUGCCUGUCGAUCCAGAUGUGGCCUGUCGAUCCAGAUGUGGCACUCUCCGCUGCCCUUCAAGCUCCACAUCUGCCUGCCUGCCACCGUGCUUCCCACCAUACCGAUAACAGAUGUUCUACAUCUGGAUUUCUAGGACCCAAGCCACAGUUAGGAUGAUCCCACCUCAAUCAGUCCAGCCUGCAAACUUCACAGAUGUGCUCAGAGAUAAAGCAUGCACAGCCCUGUCAGUUCUGAAAGCAGAUCCAUCCACAGAAGAAGGCAUCUGUGUGAACCUGGAAGUAGGUGUCAACUACAGCAGCUUCCCUUGUGUGUUCCGUGGGAGAAAGGACAUAUAAAUGACAGGAUGCCCAUAAAACAGCGUGUUGUGCAAUGGUAACAACGAAGGACAAAAGUAACUACACCCCUGUGGCUGAACCUUGAAUGUUUUGUACUGAGUGAAAGAAGACUGACCCCCAAAGCAGGAACAUCUUUCUAAUAUAAGGAACCAGGUGACUGACCAGGGAAGGGCAGGGAGGAGGGCCUGACCAGCAGGGGCCUUGUAGGGCUACUGACGCAUGGGCAGCGUUUUGGAUGUGUGCUGGGUCCCACGGGUGGUUCCACUAUAAUGCAUUGUUAUUUGUGUGUUGUUAGAAGUUUGUGCCCUUUGUGCAGUCUGUUAUUUCUCACAACGGAAAAGGUGAGUUCCAGGCCAGCUAGAGGUACACUGUGAGAGUCUGUCCUAAAAACAACACAAACCAGUAAUGGUGGUGCAUGCCUGUAAUCCCAGCACUGGGGAGGCAGAGGCAGGAGGAUCUCUGAAUUUGAGGUCAGCCUGGUCCACAGAGUAAGUUCAGGGACAGAUAGGUGUACACAGAGAAACCCUGUCUGGAAAAAUAAAGUGAAAAAAAAAAACCCUAAAACCUAAACCAUCUUAGUAAUUUUAGGGUGUGUAGUGAAUGAAUUUGUAUUUCCCUUCCUGUCACUGUAAUAAACAGCAUUACCACAGUGACAUCUAGAAGGAAGAGUUUGUUUGGACGUAGGGCUCCAGCGAGGUAAGGGUUUGUCAGGUAGGGAAGCAUAGUGGUUGGAACAGGAAGCUGAGGGGCCACAUGUCAACCCCAAGCACAGAGCAGAGAGAGCAAACUGGAAGUGAGGAAGCAAACUCUCAAGGCCCGCCCCCAGCAGUAACUUCCUCCGGCAGGGCUGGAGCUCCUGCACCUUCCCAGACAGCACCAACUGCUCAGAUGCCACAAGUCCACUGGGGACAGUUUUCGUUUAGAUUAUUGCACCUAAUUAGUAGGAAGUAGCUUUUUCAUUUUGUCUUUAUCAACUUGGAUUUUCUCUUUUCUGAAAUGUCUCUAUUUUGUCCGUUUAUUUAUUGGGUUACCUGUCACUUUGGUAACCCAAUUCUAACGUUUGUUCUGAGGAAAGGCUUUCCCUCUCCUCUCUGUCUGUUUUUAAUAAUAUAUAAAAAUAAGUUUUAUGAUGAUGACUUUGUGUGUGUGUAUUCUCUCUCUCCCUUCCUCCCUCUCUCUCUCCCUCCCUCCCUCCCUCCCUCCCUCCCUCCCUUCCCCCUCUUUGUGUGUGUGUGUGUGUGUGUGUGUGUGUGUGUGUGUGUGUGUAGUCUCAGGAAUUACAGGAUAGCC